This 446-nucleotide ribosomal RNA is filed under the name Neofusicoccum parvum. RNAcentral describes it as "eukaryotic LSU rRNA". The stretch from base 158 to 311 matches the Rfam family "5.8S ribosomal RNA". The record is from RNAcentral. Lineage: Eukaryota; Fungi; Ascomycota; Dothideomycetes; Botryosphaeriales; Botryosphaeriaceae.
CUCGACUCUCCCACCCAAUGUGUACCUACCUCUGUUGCUUUGGCGGGCCGCGGUCCUCCGCACCGGCGCCCUUCGGGGGGCUGGCCAGCGCCCGCCAGAGGACCAUAAAACUCCAGUCAGUGAACUUCGCAGUCUGAAAAACAAGUUAAUAAACUAAAACUUUCAACAACGGAUCUCUUGGUUCUGGCAUCGAUGAAGAACGCAGCGAAAUGCGAUAAGUAAUGUGAAUUGCAGAAUUCAGUGAAUCAUCGAAUCUUUGAACGCACAUUGCGCCCCUUGGUAUUCCGAGGGGCAUGCCUGUUCGAGCGUCAUUUCAACCCUCAAGCUCUGCUUGGUAUUGGGCUUCGUCCUCCACGGACGCGCCUUAAAGACCUCGGCGGUGGCGUCUUGCCUCAAGCGUAGUAGAAAACACCUCGCUUUGGAGCGCACGGCGUCGCCCGCCGGAC